RNAcentral lists this transfer RNA (116 nucleotides) under Bacteroidota bacterium. RNAcentral's name for it is "Bacteroidetes bacterium (activated sludge metagenome) tRNA-Met". Lineage: Bacteria; Pseudomonadati; Bacteroidota. RNAcentral also lists the same sequence under 1 other name. The record is from RNAcentral.
AUGCUUUAUUGGCAAUGUAUACAGCUUCCUUAAAAGAGCUCAAAAAGGCCUUUAAAUGACCUUUCAAAAUCCGACUCAUAAUCAGGGGGUCCUAGGUUCAAGUCCUAGUGGGACCA